RNAcentral lists this small RNA (648 nucleotides) under Pan troglodytes (chimpanzee). RNAcentral describes it as "processed transcript". Lineage: Eukaryota; Metazoa; Chordata; Mammalia; Primates; Hominidae. The record is from RNAcentral.
AUUUUUGCAGAGAUGCGUCUCCACCCAAAGGUCCUAGGUACCUUUGAGCGAUUGUGAAAGCCAUAACCCCUCACCCCGAAAUGACCUGUCCUCAUGCAUAUAGAAUCUUACAAUCACAGGGGUUAUGGAUCCUAUUUAGAGCCUAUAUUGAGAUCUUGAGGAGUCAGUAGUUCUCUAGAAUCCCUGUUCCAGGCGCCUCUGUUCCUGAGCAGUGUUAUGUGAACAGUGUCCUCUGUCUGUGGCUCUGUGUCCUGGCUGAGAAAGGCAGCGCUGCCUUCAGGGAACUGGGCCCAUUGCUGGGGGUCAGAGCCUUGCAUGCUCACUGUGCCCCACGUGGCUUAGACAGUACCGGCUACAGCCCUUAUCCCGACUCCACGGGUGUGAGCACAGAGGCUGAGUCACCUGCCCGAAGCAGCACAGCGAGUAAGUCACAGAGGGGAUUUGAAGCCAGGCUCAGAGCCCAGGAUUUGACCAGUGUCUCUGUGCCCACUCAAGGGAGGAAGAGUAUCCUGAGUAAGAGGGAAGCUGCAUGUGGAUCACGGGGAAGUUGCUCUGCCCUCACAUCAGCUCCUCAUGUGUACAGCUCCAGAUGGGUGGGUGUUGUCAGAGAAUUGCUCAUAGGAAGCUACAGUUCCUUCUCCACAGUCU